Long non-coding RNA from Dromiciops gliroides (monito del monte), 271 nucleotides. RefSeq lists it as uncharacterized. Lineage: Eukaryota; Metazoa; Chordata; Mammalia; Microbiotheria; Microbiotheriidae. The record is from RefSeq and is a predicted model, not a curated record. The transcript has 3 exons.
CUCCUAGACAGAGAGGAAGCAACUGAUGAAGAAUUAUCAUGGAUACAUAACAGACCAGGGCCGGUGCUUUAUCCACUGAGCCACCUAGCUGCCCCCUACAAAGAAUUUCUAUCCGAAGACUGCAAAGAAGCAUCCUUGGGAGGAAGUACGUAAAGGCAAAUGUGAACUCACCAACUAUUGACUCAGUUGAUUCAAGAGGCUCAGGAGGCAAAGAAAUAUCUCUGUCCAAAUUGAAGUCUUCCAACAGGAUAUUGUGGUCAUCUUUUAGCAG